UACGAAGGUGGCUAGCGUUGUUCGGAAUUACUGGGCGUAAAGCGCACGUAGACGGAUUUGUUAGUCAGGGGUGAAAUCCCGGGGCUCAACCUCGGAACUGCCUUUGAUACUGCAAAUCUCGAGUCCGGAAGAGGUGAGUGGAAUUCCUAGUGUAGAGGUGAAAUUCGUAGAUAUUAGGAAGAACACCAGUGGCGAAGGCGGCUCACUGGUCCGGUACUGACGCUGAGGUGCGAAAGCGUGGGGAGCAAACAGG
This 253-nucleotide ribosomal RNA is filed under the name uncultured bacterium. Its description in RNAcentral is "partial 16S ribosomal RNA". It matches the Rfam family "Bacterial small subunit ribosomal RNA", at positions 524 to 776 of the family's 1533-position model. The record is from RNAcentral.